AUUGAACGCUGGCGGCAGGCCUAACACAUGCAAGUCGAACGGCAGCACAGAAGAGCUUGCUCUUUGGGUGGCGAGUGGCGGACGGGUGAGUAAUGUCUGGGAAACUGCCCGAUGGAGGGGGAUAACUACUGGAAACGGUAGCUAAUACCGCAUAACGUCGCGAGACCAAAGUGGGGGACCUUCGGGCCCCACACCAUCGGAUGUGCCCAGAUGGGAUUAGCCAGUAGGUGGGGUAAUGGCUCACCUAGGCGACGAUCCCUAGCUGGUCUGAGAGGAUGACCAGCCACACUGGAACUGAGACACGGUCCAGACUCCUACGGGAGGCAGCAGUGGGGAAUAUUGCACAAUGGGCGCAAGCCUGAUGCAGCCAUGCCGCGUGUAUGAAGAAGGCCUUCGGGUUGUAAAGUACUUUCAGCGGGGAGGAAGGCGGUGAGGUUAAUAACCUCGCCGAUUGACGUUACCCGCAGAAGAAGUACCGGCUAACUCCGUGCCAGCAGCCGCCGUAA
This 506-nucleotide ribosomal RNA is filed under the name uncultured bacterium. RNAcentral describes it as "partial 16S ribosomal RNA". It matches the Rfam family "Bacterial small subunit ribosomal RNA", at positions 29 to 523 of the family's 1533-position model. The record is from RNAcentral.